GAUGACAAAAUGGCGCCGAAUUUGGACGAAGUUGUGGAUUUACCUUGUCGAUGGUUAAACAGGUAUGAUCUACUUGAAACCAAGUUGAAACUUGUUUAAAAUGUUCUUGAUACCAUUAUGUCUGAGAUGAUUUACAUUUUUUGUAGGAUGUCGACGAGAUCGCCGAUAAACAGCGGAGUAAAGUGGAGAACUUGGCCAAAUACGUCCAUUUGCAGGAGGUAUGCACAUUUCGAAUUAUUAUUUCGGUCAGAAAAUAUUAACUAUUUUACACCAAACCAGUGAUAAUAUAUUUAAAUAAGUACCAUUUAUGUUUCAAUCAAAAAGAUUUAGGGAAAAAGGUAAUGUAAGUCCACUGCUGUUUAUCUGAAUUUGCAAGCCACAAAUUGACGUUUAACUAUGAUUAUUGCAUGGCCAUUUUCUUGUGAAAUAUUAGUGCUAGGCAUUUCACACAUACCAAUGACCACCCCCAAAAGUACCAUCUCUGAACCAUAUAAGCACCUCAGAAUAGCCAAAGCUCUUAUGGUUUGGUAGAUAGCAGUAUGGCGAAGGCGUCGUUUUUGGGUGUGGUCAGUUUCGGACGUUUCGCCCCGGAUUGGGGUUCGGGCAGCGUUACCAUGUUGACCGUCAUGGUCAACUUACCCUAAAACAGUUGAGAUUAUCUGUCCUAAAUGAAAUGCAUACAAACCCAUAUACAGGUCCUAGACUAAUUGGUUGGUGGUAGCAGGGCCGUCGAGAGGGGGGCAGGGGGGGGGGGAAAUUGCCCCCGGCCCCGAGGUGCUGGGGGCCCCUGAAAAUUUUUUGUUGGGCCCCAGUCUUUUGUGUGUUAAAUAUUUCCGCGCAAAGGACAAGAUAUCUGUUUUUUGGGCUAAGUACCGAAAGUUGGCAUGAAAAAUUGAGAUAAAGUCCCUGGAAAGUAAUUGUAACGUACUUGUCCGGAAAAAUUUUUUACCUAAUAGUUGGCGACGGGGGGUGGGGGGGGGGGGAGGUUGUUCUCCGAAAAAAUUUUUUUCCGAAAAAAGUUUUAAAUAGGGGCUCCUAAAAAAAAUUUGUCCCUGGCCCCCGCCAACCUCUCGGCGGCCCUGGGUGGUAGAACACUUACGACAGGAUCAAUCUUAAAUAACCUUAAACUGUAAGAAUAAAUGGUCACAUCAAAGACAAAGAUCAAUCCCAAAGUAUAAAAUCUGCUCUGUAAACUUACGACGAAGUGGAGAAAUGUGUACAUGAGCGG
Molecule: non-coding RNA, 1228 nt
Organism: Paramuricea clavata
Lineage: Eukaryota; Metazoa; Cnidaria; Anthozoa; Malacalcyonacea; Plexauridae
Source: the annotation of a GenBank genome assembly